This 426-nucleotide ribosomal RNA is filed under the name uncultured bacterium. RNAcentral describes it as "bacterial SSU rRNA". It matches the Rfam family "Bacterial small subunit ribosomal RNA", at positions 30 to 464 of the family's 1533-position model. The record is from RNAcentral.
AUUGAACGCUGGCGGCAUGCCUUACACAUGCAAGUCGAACGGCAGCGGACCUUCGGGUGCCGGCGAGUGGCGAACGGGUGAGUAAUGCAUCGGAACGUGCCAUUGAGUGGGGGAUAACGUAGCGAAAGUUACGCUAAUACCGCAUAUUCUGUGAGCAGGAAAGCAGGGGACCGCAAGGCCUUGCGCUCUUUGAGCGGCCGAUGUCAGAUUAGCUAGUUGGUGAGGUAAAGGCUUACCAAGGCGACGAUCUGUAGCGGGUCUGAGAGGAUGAUCCGCCACACUGGAACUGAGACACGGUCCAGACUCCUACGGGAGGCAGCAGUGGGGAAUUUUGGACAAUGGGCGCAAGCCUGAUCCAGCCAUGCCGCGUGAGUGAAGAAGGCCUGGUGUAAGCUCUUUCGCCGGGAAGAAGUACGCAUGGGUUAA